UACGUAGGAGGCGAGCGUUAUCCGGAUUUAUUGGGCGUAAAGCGCUUGCAGGCGGACUGAGAAGUUGGAUAUGAAAGCUCCUGGCUUAACUAGGAGAGGCUGUUCAAAACUCUCAGACUAGAGGAUGGUAGAGGAAGGUGGAAUUCCGGGAGUAGUGGUGAAAUGCGUAGAUAUCCGGAGGAACACCAGUGGCGAAAGCGGCCUUCUGGGCCAAACCUGACGCUAAGAAGCGAAAGCUAGGGUAG
RNAcentral lists this ribosomal RNA (245 nucleotides) under uncultured Pelolinea sp. RNAcentral's name for it is "partial 16S ribosomal RNA". It matches the Rfam family "Bacterial small subunit ribosomal RNA", at positions 524 to 768 of the family's 1533-position model. Lineage: Bacteria; Bacillati; Chloroflexota; Anaerolineae; Anaerolineales; Anaerolineaceae. The record is from RNAcentral.